Molecule: ribosomal RNA, 563 nt
Filed under: uncultured bacterium
Lineage: Bacteria
Description: bacterial SSU rRNA
Rfam family: Bacterial small subunit ribosomal RNA
Source: RNAcentral
CCUACGGGAGGCAGCAGUGAGGAAUAUUGCGCAAUGGGGGCAACCCUGACGCAGCAACGCCGCGUGGGUGAUGAAGGCCUUCGGGUCGUAAAACCCUUUUCUGAGGGACGAGCAAGGACGGUACCUCAGGAAUAAGUCCCGGCUAACUACGUGCCAGCAGCCGCGGUAAAACGUAGGGGGCAAGCGUUAUCCGGAUUUACUGGGCGUAAAGCGCGUGCAGGCGGCUUGGUAGGUUGGACGUGAAAGCUCCUGGCUCAACUGGGAGAGGCCGUUCAAUACCGCCAGGCUUGAGGGUGGAAGAGGAGAGCGGAAUUCCCGGUGUAGUGGCGGAAUGCGUAGAUAUCGGGAGGAACACCUGUGGCGAAGGCGGCUCUCUGGUCCAUAUCUGACGCUAAGACGCGAAAGCGUGGGGAGCGAACGGGAUUAGAUACCCCGGUAGUCCACGCUGUAAACGAUGGAUGCUAGGUGUGGGUGGUAUUGACCCCAUCCGUGCCGUAGCUAACGCGUUAAGCAUCCCGCCUGGGGACUACGGCCGCAAGGUUAAAACUCAAAGGAAUUGACGG